Molecule: non-coding RNA, 524 nt
Organism: Leptonychotes weddellii (Weddell seal)
Lineage: Eukaryota; Metazoa; Chordata; Mammalia; Carnivora; Phocidae
Source: RefSeq, a predicted model, not a curated record
GUGGCCCGUCCAUCAGCAGAAUCACUAGAAUCCCGGGAAUGGGCCCGUGGAGGUAUUCCUAUGAAGCAAAACAGAACUAACGUUACUGCCCAAGGCUUUACACGUACCCAUGGGAGCACAUCAUCUUUCAGCAAGAGUCCUCCGACACCAUACUGAAGAAGGCGACAGGCAGCUGAGAAAGAAGGAUCCUAAUUAACCCAUGAGAAAAUGAUGCUGUUGAGAAGUAUGUUCAUUACAGUUCAGCUGGAUUCAAGGGGAUGUGAAAUCACCCGUCCCUGAUUAAGAGGUUCAGGGCCUCUCUCCUUAGACCAGUACUAUGCCACUGUGCAUCUGAAAUUUUCUCUUUGCAAAGGCACUUUGGCCAAGGGAUUUGGGUCUACUCCAAGCCUGGUUAAUGUGGAAUCCAAUAGAAGACCAUGAGCCCAUGGCCUUCGGAGUCUUGGAGACAGAGAGAUGCUGUUAGCAGUCAAACGUGGACAGAAAGGUGAGUGCUCCUUAAACUAACACUUGCUGGUAAACCCAAC